GGCCGCGGGAAUUCGAUUCAGGCCUAACACAUGCAAGUCGAACGGCAGCACGGACUUCGGUCUGGUGGCGAGUAAAGAACGGGUGAGUAAUAUAUCGGAACAUACCCAGUAGUGGGGGAUAACUAUCCGAAAGGAUAGCUAAUACCGCAUACGAUCUGUGGAUGAAAGCAGGGGAUCUUCGGACCUUGUGCUAUUGGAAUGGCCGAUAUCUGAUUAGCUAGUUGGUAGGGUAAAAGCCUACCAAGGCGAUGAUCAGUAGCUGGUCUGAGAGGACGACCAGCCACACUGGAAUUGAGACACGGUCCAGACUCCUACGGGAGGCAGCAGUGGGGAAUUUUGGACAAUGGGGGCAACCCUGAUCCAUUAAAGGGGCGUGAGUGAAGAAGCCCCUCGGG
This 395-nucleotide ribosomal RNA is filed under the name uncultured bacterium. Its description in RNAcentral is "bacterial SSU rRNA". It matches the Rfam family "Bacterial small subunit ribosomal RNA", at positions 39 to 422 of the family's 1533-position model. The record is from RNAcentral.